RNAcentral lists this ribosomal RNA (403 nucleotides) under Bacillus sp. (in: firmicutes). Its description in RNAcentral is "bacterial SSU rRNA". It matches the Rfam family "Bacterial small subunit ribosomal RNA", at positions 953 to 1357 of the family's 1533-position model. Lineage: Bacteria; Bacillati; Bacillota; Bacilli; Caryophanales; Bacillaceae. The record is from RNAcentral.
GAAGCAACGCGAAGAACCUUACCAGGUCUUGACAUCCUCUGACAACCCUAGAGAUAGGGCUUUCCCUUCGGGGACAGAGUGACAGGUGGUGCAUGGUUGUCGUCAGCUCGUGUCGUGAGAUGUUGGGUUAAGUCCCGCAACGAGCGCAACCCUUGAUCUUAGUUGCCAGCAUUUAGUUGGGCACUCUAAGGUGACUGCCGGUGACAAACCGGAGGAAGGUGGGGAUGACGUCAAAUCAUCAUGCCCCUUAUGACCUGGGCUACACACGUGCUACAAUGGACAGAACAAAGGGCUGCGAGACCGCAAGGUUUAGCCAAUCCCAUAAAUCUGUUCUCAGUUCGGAUCGCAGUCUGCAACUCGACUGCGUGAAGCUGGAAUCGCUAGUAAUCGCGGAUCAGCAUGC